This 2244-nucleotide unclassified non-coding RNA is filed under the name Hevea brasiliensis (rubber tree). The record is from RNAcentral. Lineage: Eukaryota; Viridiplantae; Streptophyta; Magnoliopsida; Malpighiales; Euphorbiaceae.
CUUUAAUUUGCUCCCCAUCUUCCCAUUAUCUUGUCUUUCAACAACUAAAAAUAGAUAGAUAAAGGGGGGAACAAAAAGGAACUCCAGCACUCAAUCUUCUAGCUAUCUACUGCAACUCAUGAUGUCUUGUAUCGCUGAAGAUGUUGAUACGAAACACAGAAUUAAUGGAGCGUUGUAUUCCGCUAUAAUGGAAGCUGACAAGGAGAAGGUGCUAGAACUGUGCCUCAAAGUGUCUGAUCAUGCAUUGCACAGAAUAACAGUAAAUGAUGAUACUGUUCUCCACAUGGCUACAUACGCCAAGGAAGCUGAUUUGGUACUCAAAUUGCUAGAUGAGUUGCCUGAACAUCAUCUAGAUAAGAUGACGCGCCAAAAUGGUGUUGGAAGCACUAUCCUCCAUGAAGCUGCCACAAACAACUAUGCGAUCCCUAUUGCUGAGAAACUGUUAAAGAAAGCGCCUGGAUUGUUAGGGAUGCGUAACAACAAUGGAAAGACUGCUCUAUUUCGGGCUGCCCGCUAUGGAAACACUGCAAUGUUCAAGUUUCUUGGUUCUAAAAUAACCCAAUAUGACCAAGUUAGUCAGCAAUUCUAUCUUCAGAGGAAUAUUGAUAAAACCACUGUUCUCCACAUUGCCAUUAUUUCUCAGCACUUUGAGUUGGCGGUGCACAUUGCUAAGGAGUACAAACAGUUAAUUGGUGAAAAAGACUCGGAUGGGAUGACUGCACUUCAACUUCUUGCAUGUGAACCAUCAGCUUUUAAAAUCGAUCGUGAAGAAGGAUUCAUCAACUUAAUUAAAUGGUGCUGCAGUCCUGCCUGGCGGAGGAAGAUUCAGAACGAUAAACAAAAAUACAAAUUAGCUGUGGAGCUUCUGAAGUUUUUAGUUAAAAGAGAUACCUCAUGGGAAGCCUCAUAUUCUGCUGCAGAUAAGAGCAAGCCUAAAAUACAUAGAUAUGGUGGUGGUGCUGAUGCCUCUUCUAUGGUAAAGGAAGCUGCAGCAGAAGGGUCUUCUGCAAGCACUCAAGGGCAAAAAGAAGACAUUGGAGAAACUCCUUUGAUUUUAGCCACGAAGUCAGGUUGUGUGGAGAUUGCGAAAGAAAUACUCAGAGUCUAUCCUCAGGCAGUUGAGCAUAUCGAUGAUGAAGGACGAAACGUAUUGCAUGUAGCCAUUAAAUAUCGACAAUUGAAGAUUUUUGAGUCUGUGAAAGAAAUGGAAGUGCCCAUGGGUAGGCUUGUUCGAAAAGUUGACAAUAAUGGGAACACUAUUCUGCAUACUGUCGCAUUGAAAAGAAAAGAUUUUGUAGUUGAGAAGGUGGAAGGUCCUGCGCUGCUAUUACAAGAGGAGUUACUAUGGUUUGAGAGGAUGCAAGAAAUAACUCCACCCCAUUUCAUGUAUCACCAAAACAAUAUGAAGCUCGCUGCGGAUGAGUUUUUCAAUAGCGUAAAUUCAGAACUUCGAAGUGCAGGCAAAGAAUGGCUGAAGAGCACAGCAGAGGGAUGCUCCGUUGUGGCAGUUCUGAUAGCUACUGUCGCAUUUGCUGCGGCCUACACUGUACCAGGCGGAAACCAGAGCAACGGCCUUCCUGUUCUCUUGAAUCACCCAUUAUUUGUGGUUUUCACAGUCACAGACGUACUCUCUUUGAAUUUCGCAUUAACAGCAGUUGUAACAUUUCUCUCAAUCCUUUCAUCACCGUUCAGAUUCAAAGACUUCAAGCGGUCCCUUCCUAAUAAGUUGAUGCUAGGCUUCACAUUUUUGUUCCUGUCUGUGGCCAUGAUGAUGAUGUCGUUUGGAGCGACAAUCUUCCUUAUGAUUCACAGCAAGGAAAGUUGGACUAAAAUCGCUCUGUAUGCCCUUUCCUUUAUUCCAGUGGGCAUCUUUGCCCUGUCUUAUUUUAACCUUUAUUCAUCAUUGUCAAAAACUUACAAAUACUUGCUUGGAAAGGCAAGACAAGCAGCUCCUUUGAGCACAUGCAUGGUAUCCGAUGACAAGAAACUCGACUCCUUCAGAGCAUCAUCUCGUACUCACAUUUCAUUGGUCUGAAAGUUCAUUGUUGUGACCUGUACGUGUGGAGUACUAUACAACAAACUACAGACUGGAUUGAAUAAAGGGGAAAGAUCUAAAUAGUCCCUGAGGCUUAAUAGUGGGUGCUUAGCGUUGCAAGGAUUUCUCAAAUAAUGAUAAAUUUUAGUUGCCGCUGCUGAGUAUUAACUUCAACUAACUAACGUGUUUUUUCUAUAACUGACCUGUUA